This 492-nucleotide ribosomal RNA is filed under the name uncultured bacterium. Its description in RNAcentral is "partial 16S ribosomal RNA". It matches the Rfam family "Bacterial small subunit ribosomal RNA", at positions 29 to 507 of the family's 1533-position model. The record is from RNAcentral.
AGUGAACGCUGGCGGUAGGCCUAACACAUGCAAGUCGAACGGCAGCACAGUAAGAGCUUGCUCUUACGGGUGGCGAGUGGCGGAUGGGUGAGGAAUACAUCGGAAUCUACUUUUUCGUGGGGGAUAACGUAGGGAAACUUACGCUAAUACCGCAUACGACCUACGGGUGAAAGCAGGGGAUCUUCGGACCUUGCGCGAUUGAAUGAGCCGCUGCCGGAUUAGCUAGUUGGCGGGGUAAAGGCCCACCAAGGCGACGAUCCGUAGCUGGUCUGAGAGGAUGAUCAGCCACACUGGAACUGAGACACGGUCCAGACUCCUACGGGAGGCAGCAGUGGGGAAUAUUGCACAAAGGGCGCAAGCCUGAUCCAGCCAUACCGCGUGGGUGAAGAAGGCCUUCGGGUUGUAAAGCCCUUUUGUUGGGAAAGAAAAGCAGCAGGUUAAUACCCCGCUGUUCUGACGGUACCCAAAGAAUAAGCACCGGCUAACUUCGUG